Molecule: ribosomal RNA, 35 nt
Filed under: Pseudocercospora macrospora
Lineage: Eukaryota; Fungi; Ascomycota; Dothideomycetes; Mycosphaerellales; Mycosphaerellaceae
Also listed under: 1 other name
Description: partial 18S ribosomal RNA
Source: RNAcentral
UCCGUAAGGUGAACCUGCGGAGGAUCAUUACUGAG